UACGUAGGGUGCAAGCGUUGUCCGGAAUUAUUGGGCGUAAAGAGCUCGUAGGCGGUUUGUCGCGUCUGCUGUGAAAUCCCGAGGCUCAACCUCGGGCCUGCAGUGGGUAGGGGCAGACUAGAGUGCGGUAGGGGAGAUUGGAAUUCCUGGUGUAGCGGUGGAAUGCGCAGAUAUCAGGAGGAACACCGAUGGCGAAGGCAGAUCUCUGGGCCGUAACUGACGCUGAGGUGCGAAAGCGUGGGGAGCAAACAGG
This 253-nucleotide ribosomal RNA is filed under the name uncultured bacterium. RNAcentral describes it as "partial 16S ribosomal RNA". It matches the Rfam family "Bacterial small subunit ribosomal RNA", at positions 524 to 776 of the family's 1533-position model. The record is from RNAcentral.